GAAAAACCAUCUGUGUUGAAUUAAUUUGAACUCUUUUGCUCUUUUGAAGUGAUAUGUAAUAGGUUAUCACCAAAACAAUGUUGGAUGCUACCACUGUCAGUACUUGGAUUUGGAAUAUGAAAAUGCUAUGCAUGUCAAUUUCUGUGAAUUCAUAUCCAUUACCAUUUAUGAAAUCUCAAAUAAUACUGGUCGAUCAUUUACACUACACAAACCUAACAAACAUUUCACCGACACAACAAUUAUCCUAGCAAUUCUAUCAACAUGUCAAUCUUGCUUGGUGCUUCCUGUUCCCUCUUUGUUCCCUCUUUGUUCUUGUCUGCUUCCUAUUUCCUCCCCGCAUGAACAUGUCAAUCUUGCUUGGUGCUUUCUAUCAACAUCUCUUGCUUUGUG
RNAcentral lists this long non-coding RNA (390 nucleotides) under Setaria viridis. RNAcentral describes it as "long non-coding RNA (SVIR_LNC002844)". The record is from RNAcentral. Lineage: Eukaryota; Viridiplantae; Streptophyta; Magnoliopsida; Poales; Poaceae.